This 118-nucleotide ribosomal RNA is filed under the name Pseudomonas aeruginosa VRFPA01. The record is from RNAcentral. Lineage: Bacteria; Pseudomonadati; Pseudomonadota; Gammaproteobacteria; Pseudomonadales; Pseudomonadaceae.
UUUGAAGGUCGGCGCAAGCGGUUGAGUAGAAAAGUCCCUUCCCGAACUCAGAAGUGAAACGACGCAUCGCCGAUGGUAGUGUGGGGUCUCCCCAUGUGAGAGUAGGUCAUCGUCAAGC